Molecule: ribosomal RNA, 436 nt
Filed under: uncultured Mogibacterium sp.
Lineage: Bacteria; Bacillati; Bacillota; Clostridia; Peptostreptococcales; Anaerovoracaceae
Description: partial 16S ribosomal RNA
Rfam family: Bacterial small subunit ribosomal RNA
Source: RNAcentral
ACGGGAGGCAGCAGUAAGGAAUCUUGCACAAUGGGGGAAACCCUGAUGCAGCGACGCCGCGUGAACGAUGAAGGCCUUCGGGUUGUAAAGUUCUGAUCUAAGGGAAGAAACAAAUGACGGUACCUUAGGAGAAAGCCCCGGCUAACUACGUGCCAGCAGCCGCGGUAAUACGUAGGGGGCAAGCGUUAUCCGGAAUUAUUGGGCGUAAAGAGUGCGUAGGUGGUUACCUAAGCGCAAGGUUUAAUCCUGAGGCUUAACCUCAUUCUGCCUUGCGAACUGGGCUACUUGAGUGCAGGAGGGGAAAGCGGAAUUCCUAGUGUAGCGGUGAAAUGCGUAGAUAUUAGGAAGAACACCGGUGGCGAAGGCGGCUUUCUGGACUGUAACUGACACUGAGGCACGAAAGCGUGGGGAGCAAACAGGAUUAGAUACCCUGGUA